UCCACCGCUCUCACUCUGAUUUCUCUCUGUUUCGGACAUCCUCCCCUGCGACGACGACGACAAUAGCCGGAAGGGUUGCCGACUUCUCUGUUGUCUCUGUCUAAAAUCUCAUCCUUCUUCUCCAAAAACAACUUAGAGAUCGCUGCUCGGCCUCGCAUUUUAAAGCAUCCACAUAGAUCUGCCCGGCCUGAUCAUAUAGUUGUACUCCUUCCAGGGCUUCCAGGGAGUGGAAAGAGCUAUUUGGCAAAAAUGUUGUGACCUUGAGGUUGAGAAUGGUGGUAAUGCCCCAAGAAUUCACUCAAUAGAUGAUUACUUUAUGACUGAAGUUGAAAAGGUUGAUGAAAGUAAAGUUUCAAAGUCUGUUGGCUCUAUCCUUCUCUUAAACCCCCAUAAUCAGGCCCUUUUCCCUACUGGUUUGAACACAACAGAUGCUAAAAGUAGCUAAAAUUUCGGCCACUUAAAACUAAAACCAUUUAUGCGAGGCGCCUUCAGAACAAGCCAUUUAUGCGAGGAGAGAGCAGCGACACUGUCAGAGGUGAUUUUCCACUCAGUGUUUCAGAUGAGAGGUACCAUUUGAAGUUCUUGUUCGAAGGCAAAUAGCACGGUUAUUGGAUCCUAGUCUUCAAUGUAAAAGGUUCAUUUAUGAUGAGUUCAUAAAGGUAGGUGUGAUAAAGUUUUUGUACUUUACUGUUGCAUGAGGAUUCAAUUUAUAAGUAUUUCAUACUUAUUCUGAAGUUCACCAUGAGUCACUGUUGUAUGGCGAAUGAAUUGCAACUAUUCCGG
This is a long non-coding RNA of Ipomoea nil (Japanese morning glory), 783 nucleotides long. RefSeq lists it as uncharacterized. The transcript has 6 exons. Lineage: Eukaryota; Viridiplantae; Streptophyta; Magnoliopsida; Solanales; Convolvulaceae. The record is from RefSeq and is a predicted model, not a curated record.